AGCCCCGUGGUCUAGCGGCCAAUCGUGGCCGAGACAUCGGACCUCGCGACGGCAGUUCGAAUCUGCCCGGGGCUA
RNAcentral lists this transfer RNA (75 nucleotides) under Methanobacteriota archaeon. RNAcentral's name for it is "Euryarchaeota archaeon (sediment metagenome) tRNA-Arg". Lineage: Archaea; Methanobacteriati; Methanobacteriota. The record is from RNAcentral.